AGAGUUUGAUCAUGGCUCAGGAUGAACGCUAGCUACAGGCUUAACACAUGCAAGUCGAGGGGCAGCAUCAUCAAAGCUUGCUUUGAUGGAUGGCGACCGGCGCACGGGUGAGUAACACGUAUCCAACCUGCCGACAACACUGGGAUAGCCUUUCGAAAGAAAGAUUAAUACCGGAUGGCAUAGUUUUCCCGCAUGGGAUAAUUAUUAAAGAAUUUCGGUUGUCGAUGGGGAUGCGUUCCAUUAGGCAGUUGGCGGGGUAACGGCCCACCAAACCAACGAUGGAUAGGGGUUCUGAGAGGAAGGUCCCCCACAUUGGAACUGAGACACGGUCCAAACUCCUACGGGAGGCAGCAGUGAGGAAUAUUGGUCAAUGGACGAGAGUCUGAACCAGCCAAGUAGCGUGAAGGAUGACUGCCCUAUGGGUUGUAAACUUCUUUUAUACGGGAAUAAAGUUAGCCACGUGUGGCUUUUUGUAUGUACCGUAUGAAUAAGGAUCGGCUAACUCCGUGCCAGCAGCCGCGGUAAUACGGAGGAUCCGAGCGUUAUCCGGAUUUAUUGGGUUUAAAGGGAGCGUAGGCGGGUUGUUAAGUCAGUUGUGAAAGUUUGCGGCUCAACCGUAAAAUUGCAGUUGAUACUGGCGACCUUGAGUGCAACAGAGGUAGGCGGAAUUCGUGGUGUAGCGGUGAAAUGCUUAGAUAUCACGAAGAACUCCGAUUGCGAAGGCAGCUUACUGGAUUGUAACUGACGCUGAUGCUCGAAAGUGUGGGUAUCAAACAGGAUUAGAUACCCUGGUAGUCCACACAGUAAACGAUGAAUACUCGCUGUUGGCGAUAUACAGUCAGCGGCCAAGCGA
This 853-nucleotide ribosomal RNA is filed under the name uncultured bacterium. RNAcentral describes it as "bacterial SSU rRNA". It matches the Rfam family "Bacterial small subunit ribosomal RNA", at positions 8 to 854 of the family's 1533-position model. The record is from RNAcentral.